UACAGAGACCUCAAGCGUUAUCCGGAAUCAUUGGGCGUAAAGCGUACCGAUAGGUGGUUGAAAUAGUCUUGGGUAAAAGCCAGAAGCUCAACUUCUGAGUUUGCUUAAGAUACUUUUCGACUAGAGGGGCAAAGAGGUGCUUGGAACGAACGGUGUAGUAGUGAAAUGCGUUGAUAUCGUUCGGAACACCGAAAGCGAAGGCAGAGCACUGGGCGCCACCUGACACUGCUAGGACGAAAGCGUGGGGAGCGAACAGG
RNAcentral lists this ribosomal RNA (257 nucleotides) under uncultured bacterium. Its description in RNAcentral is "partial 16S ribosomal RNA". It matches the Rfam family "Bacterial small subunit ribosomal RNA", at positions 524 to 776 of the family's 1533-position model. The record is from RNAcentral.